Perca fluviatilis (European perch) is the source of this 452-nucleotide non-coding RNA. Lineage: Eukaryota; Metazoa; Chordata; Actinopteri; Perciformes; Percidae. The record is from the annotation of a RefSeq genome assembly.
CCUCCUUCUAAUCCACCAACUUAGUGUUGAUGAAGACUAAACAGAGAGAUCACAGCCUUCUUUAUACUUGCUGUAGCUCAGAGUUACUCCACACUGCAGAUAUGAAGCCUCUGUUCAUCUCAGUGUUGCUGGCUGCUUUGAGCCUUGAAUGCAGAGCACAAAAAGACAACGUGCUGCAACCUAAAGAAGAUGUGACUGCUACUGAAGGAGAGGCAGUAACACUUGGCUGUCAGUAUGACAGCAGUUCAUCUAAUGAUUAUCUCUUCUGGUACAAACAGGAUGGAAACAACAGCCUCAAAUUCAUUCUGAGCCGCUUUAAGGUUGGCUCCGGGAAAACAGUUGAUGAGGAGAGAUUUUCAUCCACACUGAAUUCCAGCUUAGGAUCAGUUACUCUGAAGAUCCAUAAGCUUCAGCUGUCUGACUCUGCUGUGUACUACUGUGCUCUGAGGCCC